This 473-nucleotide ribosomal RNA is filed under the name uncultured bacterium. RNAcentral describes it as "bacterial SSU rRNA". It matches the Rfam family "Bacterial small subunit ribosomal RNA", at positions 335 to 801 of the family's 1533-position model. The record is from RNAcentral.
ACUCCUACGGGAGGCAGCAGUAGGGAAUCUUCCACAAUGGGCGCAAGCCUGAUGGAGCAACACCGCGUGAGUGAAGAAGGGUUUCGGUUCGUAAAGCUCUGUUUGUUAAAGAAGAACACGUAUGAGAGUAACUGUUCAUACGUUGACGGUAUUUAACCAGAAAGUCACGGCUAACUACGUGCCAGCAGCCGCGGUAAUACGUAGGUGGCAAGCGUUAUCCGGAUUUAUUGGGCGUAAAGAGAGUGCAGGCGGUUUCUAAGUCUGAUGUGAAAGCCUUCGGCUUAACCGGAGAAGUGCAUCGGAAACUGGAUAACUUGAGUGCAGAAGAGGUAGUGGAACUCCAUGUGUAGCGGUGGAAUGCGUAGAUAUAUGGAAGAACACCAGUGGCGAAGGCGGCUACCUGGUCUGCAACUGACGCUGAGACUCGAAAGCAUGGGUAGCGAACAGGAUUAGAUACCCCUGGUAGGAUAGCG